Long non-coding RNA from Hibiscus syriacus, 456 nucleotides. RefSeq lists it as uncharacterized. NCBI's taxonomy places the organism in Eukaryota, Viridiplantae, Streptophyta, Magnoliopsida, Malvales, Malvaceae. The transcript has 3 exons. The record is from RefSeq and is a predicted model, not a curated record.
CUAAAAUAGCCUUCUCCCUUCGUUCUGGCUGAAAUCUUCUUCUUCUUCUUCGACCUGGUUAUAAGUUUGUGUUCUCAAAAUUAGAAUUCCCAAAAUUGAAAUCCCUUUGCAAAGCCACUCGUUCCUUCCUCACGCUCCACCACUCUAGGCUCCAGCUGUGCGCUUUCGGUUUGCAGUCGUCAACGGUUGCCGGCUCAUCGCAGCGGAAGGACAGGAAGAAGAGAUUAUCAAGUUUUUCACUUGAUAAACCAUUACAGGUAGCAGAGAUUAUCAAGGAGGACUUAUGGCCCAAUCCUCUCACUUAUUUCAACAGUGAGGCUGAUGAAGAGGAUUUUGAUGGAGAUGAAGAGGCAAAAGAGGACGAGGAUGAGGAGGAGGAGGAGGAGGAGGAUGGUGAUGAUGAGGAUUAACAAAAAUGAGUGGGUGGCCUUAAUUCUGUCUAGUUGUUGGGCUUGC